CGCGGCAGGAGGAAAGUCCGGGCAACACAGAGCUGCCAUACUUCCUAACGGGAAGGGGUGUGUGACGAAAGUCCCGCAUCACAGAGAGUGCCGCAGAAAGGAAAACCGCCAGCCGCAAGGCUGGUAAGGGUGAAAACGCGAGGUAAGAGCUCACGGCGCCGUCAGCGAUGCCGGCGUGGGUAAACCUUAUGGGUUGAAAGACCAAAUAUACCGGCAGUUAAGGGUUGGCUCGCCCGUUGCCGGGGGGUAGGUCGAUAGAGACGGCUGGCGACAGCCGUAGUAGAUAAAUGAUAGAAGGCCGGCGUAAGCCGGUUACAGAACCCGGCUUACAAGUUGUC
Molecule: RNase P RNA, 338 nt
Filed under: bovine gut metagenome
Description: Bacterial RNase P class A
Rfam family: Bacterial RNase P class A
About the family: Ribonuclease P (RNase P) is a ubiquitous endoribonuclease, found in archaea, bacteria and eukarya as well as chloroplasts and mitochondria.
Source: RNAcentral